UGGGGAAUAUUGGACAAUGGGCGCAAGCCUGAUCCAGCCAUGCCGCGUGUGUGAAGAAGGCCUUCGGGUUGUAAAGCACUUUUGUUGGGAAAGAAAAGCGGUCGGUUAAUACCCGGUCGUUCUGACGGUACCCAAAGAAUAAGCACCGGCUAACUUCGUGCCAGCAGCCGCGGUAAUACGAAGGGUGCAAGCGUUACUCGGAAUUACUGGGCGUAAAGCGUGCGUAGGUGGUUUGUUAAGUCAGAUGUGAAAGCCCCGGGCUCAACCUGGGAAUUGCAUUUGAUACUGGCAGACUAGAGUGCGGUAGAGGAGAGUGGAAUUCCCGGUGUAGCAGUGAAAUGCGUAGAGAUCGGGAGGAACAUCAGUUGCGAAGGCGGCUCUCUGGACCAGCACUGACACUGAGGCACGAAAGCGUGGGGAGCAAACA
RNAcentral lists this ribosomal RNA (427 nucleotides) under uncultured Lysobacteraceae bacterium. Its description in RNAcentral is "uncultured Xanthomonadaceae bacterium partial 16S ribosomal RNA". It matches the Rfam family "Bacterial small subunit ribosomal RNA", at positions 355 to 774 of the family's 1533-position model. The record is from RNAcentral. Lineage: Bacteria; Pseudomonadati; Pseudomonadota; Gammaproteobacteria; Lysobacterales; Lysobacteraceae.